RNAcentral lists this ribosomal RNA (848 nucleotides) under Rhagoletis pomonella (apple maggot). RNAcentral's name for it is "partial 16S ribosomal RNA". The record is from RNAcentral. Lineage: Eukaryota; Metazoa; Arthropoda; Insecta; Diptera; Tephritidae.
GUUUUUUUAGAAAUAAAUUUAAUUUACAAGUUUUUAAUUUUUUGUUUAUUUAUUAAAAUAAAAAAAUUAUUAAUUUGAAUAUUUUAAGGGAUAAGCUUUAAAAUAAAUUAUUAAAAAUUAGUAAUUUUAAUAUAAAAUGUAUGAAUAGAAUUUUCAAUCAUUUGUAAAUUUGUUAUAAAUUAUUUUAUAAUUUUUAUUAUUUACUAUUAUUUUAAGUUUUUAUAAAAAUUUUUUCAUAAAUUUUUUAUGAAAAUUAAUAAUGAUAAAAUUAGUAUAUUUAUAUUGUACAUAUAAUUUUAUUUGAUAAGUUUAUAUAAAGAACUCGGCAAAUUUAUAUACUCGCCUGUUUAACAAAAACAUGUCUUUUUGAGUUAUUUUUAAAGUCUGACCUGCCCACUGAAUAAUUUUGAAUGGCCGCAGUAUUUUAACUGUGCAAAGGUAGCAUAAACAUUAGUCUUUUAAUUGAAGGCUGGUAUGAAUGGUUGGACGAAGUAUAAACUGUUUCAUAAAAAUUUAUUGUAGAAUUUUAUAUUUUAGUUAAAAAGCUAAAAUUUAAUUAAAAGACGAGAAGACCCUAUAAAUCUUUAUAUUUAAUAUAAUUUUAAUUUUUUUGAUGUAUUUUAUUUUAAUUUUAUUAAUUAUUUUGUUGGGGUGAUGUUAAAAUUUAAUGAACUUUUAAUUAUUAAAAAUCAUUAAUUUAUGAUUUAUUGAUCCGUUAAUAACGAUUAUAAGAUUAAGUUACUUUAGGGAUAACAGCGUAAUUUUUUUGGAGAGUUCUUAUUGAUAAAAAAGUUUGCGACCUCGAUGUUGGAUUAAGAUAUAUUUUUAGGUGUAGCCGCUUAAAUAUU